This 498-nucleotide ribosomal RNA is filed under the name uncultured bacterium. RNAcentral's name for it is "partial 16S ribosomal RNA". It matches the Rfam family "Bacterial small subunit ribosomal RNA", at positions 30 to 523 of the family's 1533-position model. The record is from RNAcentral.
AUUGAACGCUGGCGGCAUGCCUUACACAUGCAAGUCGAACGGUAACAGGUCUUCGGAUGCUGACGAGUGGCGAACGGGUGAGUAAUACAUCGGAACGUGCCUAGUAGUGGGGGAUAACUACUCGAAAGAGUGGCUAAUACCGCAUGAGAUCUACGGAUGAAAGCAGGGGAUCGCAAGACCUUGUGCUACUAGAGCGGCCGAUGGCAGAUUAGGUAGUUGGUGGGAUAAAAGCUUACCAAGCCAACGAUCUGUAGCUGGUCUCAGAGGACGAUCAUCCACACUGGGAGUUAGCAACCACCCAAGCUGCUACGGUCGGCGUCAGUGGGGAAUUUUGGACAAUGCGCGCAAGCCUGACCCAGCAAUGCGGCGUGCAGGAUGAAGGCCUUCGGGUUGUAAACUGCUUUUGUACGAAACGAAAAGCCCUGGGUUAAUACCCUGGGGUCAUGACGGUACCGUAAGAAUAAGCACCGGCUAACUACGUGCCAGCCGCCGCCGUAA